This 462-nucleotide ribosomal RNA is filed under the name uncultured Alphaproteobacteria bacterium. RNAcentral describes it as "bacterial SSU rRNA". It matches the Rfam family "Bacterial small subunit ribosomal RNA", at positions 8 to 508 of the family's 1533-position model. Lineage: Bacteria; Pseudomonadati; Pseudomonadota; Alphaproteobacteria. The record is from RNAcentral.
AGAGUUGUAUCCUGGCUCAGAAGGAACGCUGGCAGCGUGCAUAACACAUGCAAGUCGAACGUGAGUACUCUUCGGGGUAUGAAAGUGGCGAACGGGUGAGUAACACGUAAGAAUCUACCUUUAGGACGGGGAUAACUUCUGGAAACGGAUGCUAAUACCCGAUAUGCUGUGGAGUGAAAGAAUUUCGCCUAAAGAUGAUCUUGCGUCUGAUUAGCUAGAUAGGGUGGUAACGGCACACUAUGGCGACGAUCAGUAGCUGGUCUGAGAGGAUGGACAGCCACAUUGGAACUGAGACACGGUCCAAACUCCUACGGGAGGCAGCAGUGGGGAAUUUUCCGCAAUGGGCGAAAGCCUGACGGAGCGACGCUGCGUGAAGGAUGACGGCCUGCGGGUUGUAAACUUCUUUUCUCGAAGAAGAAUAAAUGACGGUAUUCGAGGAAUAAGCAUCGGCUAACUCUGUGC